CGUUAUCCAAUAAAAACUUUCUGUAUUUUUUUAGGUACCUUGAAUCCAUUUUUAGCUUCACGGCAUUCAAACUAGGUAAUGACGUAUCUUUAUAAUUAAAAUUGAAAAACGACACAAUUUCUGUGACAUAACUCAGCAAUUCUAAAGUACAAAAGUUAAAAUUAGGUUCCUAAAAAAACUCAAAUUUGAGAUUUGUGUCGGUAAAUCAAGAUUUUGAAACUAUUGAAUAAAUUUGAGUUUUGCAAGAAUACUGCUUUGUCAUCAAUAUGGACAUCAUUUUAUAAUUCAAGGCCAUGAACAAGGCGUUUCCUUUUCCUAACGAACCAUAAUCUGGUCUACAAUUGCUUCCAAAAACGAUGCGCAGAAAUUAAAAUAUAUCCCUAAAAUGAAGAUGCUAAUGAUUUCCUUUUCAAUAAUCGCCUCAGGAAUAAUUCUCAGCUGUAUUAAUGCUAGUCCUGCAUUGAAAAGAAGCAACCGAGUUUCAAGGGAAACACUUCCUCUUUUCAAACUGCUCAAAAUUUCAACAGAUUUUUAUAAUACAGCUGGACAUAUGUACAAAACUGCAAAGGAUGGACUUCAAAUACCAAUCAAUAUCGCUAAUACAGCAAUGACCAUAGCGCUGGCUCCAUUUCGCACCGCUAAUAGUCUUGUAAAUAUGGUUGCUUAAGAUAUCCGAAAAACUCAAAAUUUUUCUAAUCAGUAACCAAGUAAAAUAAUGUAAUACGUUGACAAAUAUUUCCCUACAAAGCUUCAAGAAGUGUUCUAAAUUGACUUCUCACCAAACUUCGAUUGUUAUUGAAACUUGUAUUAAUGAACAGAAAUGAAAUAAACAAAAGUAGAUUAAAUGUAAUAAAUAAAAAUUGAUAUGAACUCGAAAAAAAAUAUUUAUUUUACAACCACACAUGACAAUAUAUGAAUAUUUCCUAUACAUGAAUAUAAAACUUUUGAUGCUGUUUCGUUUUAGAAUUAUGUUUUCAUGAUAAUAAUUUUAAUGAAAAAAGUCAAAAGACGCUUCUCACCAAAUAUUGCAGUCUGUUAUUACAUUACAUUAUUGUCUAAAUAUUGCAUGUCAUUAUUUUAUGUUCCUUCCUGAAUAUUGUCUUAGGCCUAACAGUCUCUUAAGCCUAAGAUUUGAUUACUUAUAAAUUAUACCUGAAAUCUAUAAACUAUUUGUAAUUAGUAAAAGUUGAUGAAAAUCUAAAGAAUUUUAUUUAACUUAAGUGUAUGCAUCUUAUGCUUUUAAUAAAUUCUCUGAGUUA
Parasteatoda tepidariorum (common house spider) is the source of this 1259-nucleotide non-coding RNA. The record is from RefSeq and is a predicted model, not a curated record. NCBI's taxonomy places the organism in Eukaryota, Metazoa, Arthropoda, Arachnida, Araneae, Theridiidae.